This 301-nucleotide ribosomal RNA is filed under the name uncultured bacterium. Its description in RNAcentral is "partial 16S ribosomal RNA". It matches the Rfam family "Bacterial small subunit ribosomal RNA", at positions 509 to 807 of the family's 1533-position model. The record is from RNAcentral.
CAGCCGCCGCGGGAAUACGAAGGGGGCUAGCGUUGCUCGGAAUUACUGGGCGUAAAGGGAGCGUAGGCGGAUCGUUUAGUCAGGGGUGAAAUCCCGGGGCUCAACCUCGGAACUGCCUUUGAUACUGGCGAUCUUGAGUAUGGGAGAGGUGUGUGGAACUCCGAGUGUAGAGGUGAAAUUCGUAGAUAUUCGGAAGAACACCAGUGGCGAAGGCGACACACUGGCCCAUUACUGACGCUGAGGCUCGAAAGCGUGGGGAGCAAACAGGAUUAGAUACCCCGGUAGUCCCUGUCUCUUAUAC